UACGUAGGUGGCAAGCGUUGUCCGGAUUUACUGGGCGUAAAGGGCUCGUAGGCGGCCAACUAAGUCAGACGUGAAAUCCCUCGGCUUAACCGGGGAACUGCGUCUGAUACUGGAUGGCUAGAGGUUGGGAGAGGGAUGCGGAAUUCCAGGUGUAGCGGUGAAAUGCGUAGAUAUCUGGAGGAACACCGGUGGCGAAGGCGGCAUCCUGGACCAAUUCUGACGCUGAGGAGCGAAAGCCAGGGGAGCAAACGGG
Molecule: ribosomal RNA, 253 nt
Filed under: uncultured bacterium
Lineage: Bacteria
Description: partial 16S ribosomal RNA
Rfam family: Bacterial small subunit ribosomal RNA
Source: RNAcentral